CACCCCAACCUCAACACCGUUCCUUCCAAGAAAAUAAUGUAGCACCAAAAAAAGGAAAGACAUCGAAUUGACAUAUAUAACUUAUAGAUAUGAAAAUAUAAAUGUGAAAUUAAGACUUCUAAAACUUCCUAAUAUUGUACAUUGGAGUGUAUAUAUAGGUCGACAACGAUAAAAUUACUGAAGAAGUGACUUCAUGCUAUUUCCUGCAGAGUGGAAAAUCGGUCAGCUUCGGCCUCGGCUUUCGGGUCCUCUAGGGCAGCAGAGCCCUUGAAGAGCAAAAUAGCAAGGCUGCCAAUGUAGAAAUGGAUGAAACAACCAUAACAAUGUGUUACAAAUGAACCAAAAUCUGUCCCUACUAUGCAUUGCCACCCUGGUCCAUACAUUGUAUCAAAUUCCUUUUUAAGAAAACGUGCAAUUUCAGUGGCCUCAGUGACAUCAAAGAAGUCAAGUGCCUUUGCAGCUAAAUCUAAUGCAUCUUGUUGCAUGGUUCCCAACAUAUCUGUAUCUCCAAUUACUGCUUUCCCUUCCAACAUCUUCCAAAAAAAAAGUGUUGAAUUU
Molecule: unclassified non-coding RNA, 558 nt
Filed under: Hevea brasiliensis (rubber tree)
Lineage: Eukaryota; Viridiplantae; Streptophyta; Magnoliopsida; Malpighiales; Euphorbiaceae
Source: RNAcentral